CCGCACUUAUCAUAGUACACCAGAAAUCUAACAAAAUACAAAUAGAACAAAAUAAUGAUAGAAUGCACACUUUAAGCAGUUAGCUCAAACAAGUCGUCACUAUGCAUGAAUUCAGCUAAUCCUAGACCCUGCAUCCAACAAAAACUCAAACCUGAGAAAAAAGAAACAAAAGUUAAUGAAUGACACAUAUAACAUCAAAUUAAUAAUAAAAUAUGCAAUUAACAAGUCAAC
RNAcentral lists this long non-coding RNA (231 nucleotides) under Gossypium barbadense (sea-island cotton). Its description in RNAcentral is "long non-coding RNA (GBAR_LNC007938)". Lineage: Eukaryota; Viridiplantae; Streptophyta; Magnoliopsida; Malvales; Malvaceae. The record is from RNAcentral.